This 2277-nucleotide long non-coding RNA is filed under the name Daphnia pulex (common water flea). Its description in RNAcentral is "uncharacterized LOC124204037". The record is from RNAcentral. Lineage: Eukaryota; Metazoa; Arthropoda; Branchiopoda; Diplostraca; Daphniidae.
AGCCCUUCAGACGCAACAGAAAUUAAAACUUAUAUUUUAAUUAUAUAUUUGGCUAAUUAUAAAAUCCUGAGAUGCUUUUUUUGUUUAUUUUUAUGCAGAUUUCUCUCAGCACGGAAAAAAUCGUCGAAAAUUUGAUAGGAGUAAUCAAAUGUUCGUUGGCAAAUUUGAUAGACAUCAGUACGAAAGAUAUUUAGAUAACCUGGCCCAUCCUCUCCGCGGAGUGUCUCAAAUUUUGUCCGGGUGUCUGGAUUCGGGUUUAUCAGACAUCCGAAGGGGAUGACAAGUGGCCGGAAGAGGCGACAGCAAUAACUACCUUAUCUAUUCCUCAAAAGUGCUGCCUUGUAAACAAAGAUGCUGCUUCGUAUUCGAUCGUCCUUUUCCCGCAGCAGCAGUCAUCGUGACGAAAAGGAUCCCUUUUUCUUUUCCUUGGCCAGAAAUCUCACCCAGUGCCGCGCUUAUGCCGUGGAAGUCAUUCCAAACUAUCAGUCCCUUGGCGGCAAAACUCUGCGUACGCAAAUCGUCGUUCCGCCCAAUAAUAAGCAAAGCGACGAACAGCACGAAACCGCUAACAAGCAUUGUGGCCCAUCACUCAAAUUAGUUGGUCUUUAAUUGGGAAGACAAUUCUGAAUGCACGCCGCUCGUCCUUCAACUUGAAAUAUUUCGAGAUGGAAUUCUAGAUAGAGAAAAGGCCAUUUCGACCAUUAGUGUUCCUCGCAGUUGCCUGGAGCAUCCUAGGAAAAAUGAAAAUCUGUUUUUACUGGAGUUGCCGGCCGAUAGGCAAACCUGUCCAAUAGACUGGAAGCCUUUAGAUGUGUGUCGCAAAUACAGACUCGAUGUCAGCUCUCAGUACUCGGCCUGGAAAAGUCCGUCGUCGUCGUAACAUAUUUACAGGGCAAGAAGGUUAUUUAUUUAUUUAUUUUUUAUUUCGCUGCCGGUAAUAAAAGUUUGCCACAAUCUUAGAAUCGGGAAACUACCCGGUGAACAUAAGCGAUUUUAUGUGAUGCCCAAAAGAUCAUUAUUUCUGCCCAUUUCGUGGGUGUCAACAAAUACAAUCCAUCAGCAUUUGCGAAAUUGAUGGCCAGCGCGACGAUGGCCGGGACGAAAAACAUUGUGAUACCGAGUGCAACAAAGAAAGAUUUCGAUGUGGACAGCAUGUUUACCCUUGUGUUUACCGAAGGAUUUAUAGUUUGUGAUGGUAAAUACGACUGUCUGGAUGGUUCUGACGAAGGCUACGAUUGCAGUUACGCAUAUAUAUGUGUGUCAACAAUUCACGAAUGCUUUGGGUAAAUUUUCUUCCCGGAUUUUUCUUAAACCUGCGUUUGAAAUUCAUCCAGACAUAGUUCCUGAUGCCGUUCGGAAAACGGCAGUGCUGGUGUAUCAAUUCAACCCGACGACCAAAUUUGGCUUUCAUUCAAUAAAUUUGUCACUUACAAGCAUUUUAUCAAAGUUUAUGAUGGCCCUUACUCGUCCAGUCCUCUUCUGUUAUCACACAUUUGGAUUAAGUAAGCCGUACUCUGUGCGGUCGUCAUCCAGCGACUUGUUUGUUGAAUUCCCAUCGUACCAUGACCCGAAUUAUGGAAUUGAGGCUUUCUAUACAAGUGUAAACCUCACAGACGAGCCAUUUGUACCCGGCUGUGAUGGUUUUAUUAACGGCGAAGGGGUUAUUUCGACUCCGAAUGAUUUAUCCGGAUUUAUCAGCGACAAGUAAAGACGACUGCUUUUGGGUUAUUGAAUCCUGAAAUAGUGAAGACAGUAUCCUACUAAGAAAACAUUCUUUUGAUUUCAAAACUACCAAGCUGACCCCUGUAUUAUUAUCCGUUUCAUGUAUCCAACUAUAACUGCAAGUCUAAUUGUUAAAUUACUCCUACAUUAUUCCAAUUAAUGUUUAUUCUCUUGUAUUUUGAAAAGGUUUACGACGGAUGGAGUACAAACGGUCUUGUGCUUUACAAUGGCAAACCAUCAAAUAACGUAGUACAGGACAAGGCGGUCAUCUUCUCGAUCACCAACAAAAUAUUGGUAUACAUUUAAAACCACCUGACGUCAUCAAUAAAUACCGCGCCUUUUACUGGAACGUGUCCAUACUGUCCAAGAUAUCCUCAGCGAAAUGCAAACAUCACUACGAUGUAACCAGAGGGACCAUAAAAAGCCCAAACUAUCCGAUGCUCUAUCCCGGUAUCCCCAUCUGACGGACUGUCGCUGGACCAUCAGCGUGAAACCGGGAUCAAAAGUCCGGCUGCUUGUUGCGUUCUUCGAGACGCAAGAGGGCUCGGAUUUCUU